GCGGCUUCGAGGGAGUCAGAUCAACGCGCGAGCGUCGAGCCACAGAAGGACAAGAGCCGGGCGCUGCGAUCUAGGGUUCUCCUGUCGUAGAAGAGUGUCUUAAGAUUAAUGUGGUUGUGGCAAAGUCUCGGCGGCCAAGGCAGCCGCUGAAAGAGCUUGAGUCACACAUAAUACUCCAUUGUCAGUGCCACCUUGUUUCAGGGCCAAGCCUCCCAAAGGUGGAAGAAAUCUCUCGGAGUUUAUAGCUCACGAGGGCAGCGAUUUGAGGCUGAGAAAGAGUAGUUCUUCUUUAGUUUAUGUUUUGCGUGCUCUGUCGGCUUUGUUCUUGCUAAACGGCUGAAAAAUCUGGCGACGCAGCACUUCGAAGUUCUCGACGAUGUCUUCAUGCACGCCAGAAAGCUAUUCGUCUGGAAGUCGCGAUCCAUCAUCUAGAUCUUACACUUCGGCUCUCUUGUACUUGAAGAUUGUGUUUCGUUUUCUUUGGUGCUCACUCUUUCGUGUUUCUUCUUCUGUUUGCUUGCAGGGCUUAUCACGCUUUACAAUCCUGUGGAAUCACGGGCAGCGAGUGUUGUGCAAAACAGAAUCAGUGAGAUAACCUCUCUGCUCUUGCUACGUUAACAAUCAAUGGUUUCUUCAAAAUGCACACUGAGCUACGAGAUUAAAGAACUUGUCACGUCUAUGCAGCUGCGCGAACUGACCAUGGAACGACUUGUGUUAUAGGUGAUCGAGGUAUUUUUGUUUUUCUUGUGUACAUAAGAUAGUUUAUUAC
Long non-coding RNA from Selaginella moellendorffii, 769 nucleotides. RefSeq lists it as uncharacterized. The transcript has 3 exons. The record is from RefSeq and is a predicted model, not a curated record. Lineage: Eukaryota; Viridiplantae; Streptophyta; Lycopodiopsida; Selaginellales; Selaginellaceae.